This is a non-coding RNA of Stegodyphus mimosarum, 73 nucleotides long. Lineage: Eukaryota; Metazoa; Arthropoda; Arachnida; Araneae; Eresidae. The record is from Rfam.
GCCUUCGUGGUGUAGUGGUCAGCAUGCUCGACGCGUAACCGAGAGGUCCGUGGUUCGAUUCCCGGCGAAGGCG